AAAAAUCGACAGGGGAGCUUGUACAGCAGGCUGAGAGGAAGUAAUCGAACUUCGACCCUUUAACCUGAUGCGGAUAAUGCCGCCGUAGGAAGUUUGCAAACUUGCUGU
Regulatory RNA element from Clostridium sp. CAG:169, 108 nucleotides. It matches the Rfam family "TPP riboswitch aptamer (THI element)". Rfam says of the family: Vitamin B(1) in its active form thiamin pyrophosphate (TPP) is an essential coenzyme that is synthesised by coupling of pyrimidine and thiazole moieties in bacteria. The previously detected thiamin-regulatory element, thi box was extended, resulting in a new, highly conserved RNA secondary structure, the THI element, which is widely distributed in eubacteria and also occurs in some archaea. NCBI's taxonomy places the organism in Bacteria, Bacillati, Bacillota, Clostridia, Eubacteriales, Clostridiaceae. The record is from Rfam.